Molecule: ribosomal RNA, 288 nt
Filed under: uncultured bacterium
Lineage: Bacteria
Description: partial 16S ribosomal RNA
Rfam family: Bacterial small subunit ribosomal RNA
Source: RNAcentral
AUGCCUUACACAUGCAAGUCGGACGGCAGCGCGGGGGCAACCCUGGCGGCGAGUGGCGAACGGGUGAGUAAUACAUCGGAACGUGUCCUGGAGUGGGGGAUAGCCCGGCGAAAGCCGGAUUAAUACCGCAUACGCUCUAUGGAGGAAAGCGGGGGAUCUUCGGACCUCGCGCUCAAGGGGCGGCCGAUGGCAGAUUAGCUAGUUGGUGGGGUAAAGGCCUACCAAGGCGACGAUCUGUAGCUGGUCUGAGAGGACGACCAGCCACACUGGGACUGAGACACGGCCCAG